Molecule: ribosomal RNA, 467 nt
Filed under: uncultured bacterium
Lineage: Bacteria
Description: partial 16S ribosomal RNA
Rfam family: Bacterial small subunit ribosomal RNA
Source: RNAcentral
GAUGAACGCUGGCGGCGUGCUUAACACAUGCAAGUCGAACGGAAAGGCCUCUGCUUGCAGGGGUACUCGAGUGGCGAACGGGUGAGUAACACGUGGGUGAUCUGCCCUGCACUUCGGGAUAAGCCUGGGAAACUGGGUCUAAUACCGGAUAGGACAAUGGUUUGGAUGCUGUUGUGGAAAGUUUUUCGGUGUGGGAUGAGCUCGCGGCCUAUCAGCCUGUUGGUGGGGUAAUGGCCUACCAAGGCGUCGACGGGUAGCCGGCCUGAGAGGGUGUACGGCCACAUUGGGACUGAGAUACGGCCCAGACUCCUACGGGAGGCAGCAGUGGGGAAUAUUGCACAAUGGGCGCAAGCCUGAUGCAGCGACGCCGCGUGGGGGAUGACGGCCUUCGGGUUGUAAACUCCUUUCGCUAGGGACGAAGCGUUUUUGUGACGGUACCUGGAGAAGAAGCACCGGCUAACUACGUG